Long non-coding RNA from Brassica rapa (field mustard), 4513 nucleotides. RefSeq lists it as uncharacterized. The record is from RefSeq and is a predicted model, not a curated record. Lineage: Eukaryota; Viridiplantae; Streptophyta; Magnoliopsida; Brassicales; Brassicaceae.
UGAAGAAAAAAGACAAAAAUCCUAAAAGGUAGGUUAAUUAAUAACUUCAGUGGCAUGCCAUUGUAAAUAUAGUGGAAAACUAAGGGAUAAUCUAAUUUUGUACUCCUCUUUUAAUAGAUUAGAUAAUCAAUUUAAUACGAACAAGUGUUUUUCAACCCAAACCGGACCGGUGGUGAGACCAUGUUAAGCAAUAAACUAAAAAUUUAUCUAGAUUGGAUAGAUAAGAAAACCCAAAAAAUUGACCGAGAAAACCAUAUCCAACCACUACAAACCAGAAACCAUCAAACUAAUGAACCAAAUAAAACAGAGGCCGUUUGUAACUCACUGCCAAAAAUCAAUUUUAUCAACUAUUUAGUCUUUAUAACCAAUUAAUCUAAUUGGAUUACUAAAAGGAAGCUACAAAUAAAAACUCCUAUGCUUCUUAUAAUGUUUGAUUUUUUUCUGAAUUUUGUAACUUACAAGUAUAAAUCUUUGACUCAUAACAUACCAAUUUUUGUGUUCGCUUUCCAUUUAGUUUGCAUUUAAGUUAUUUUAUUGAAAAUUUUAAUAGAUAAACUCAAUCAUGUUUAAUUUUUUUGUUGAAACAUAAAUAAAAAAUGCCAAUAUUUAGUUGAAUUAAGCUAAUUGAAUAUGGUUACACCCCGUUAAAUUAUAUUGAUCCAUGACUCAAAAACUUUUCCAAUUUGGUUAAAGAACCGUUCUGAAAACAUUAUCAAGAACAACUGAUCCUUGAAAAUUUAUAUAAUAGUUCAUUACAAAUUCACACUUCAUAUUUUUAGUUCAUACACAAAUAUUCCAAACAAUAAUUCAUAUAAUUAGUAACCAUAAUGAUAAUGAUGAAUGCUUAAUGAAACGGAAAUAAAAACAUUAGAGGCAAUGUUGUGAAAAAAACAUUAGAAGCAAUCAAUAGAAAUCAAAUGCACUAAAAAUACACUACACAGACUAGAUUUAUCUUCCUCGUCAUUCAAAUGUUAUUUGAAACAUAAUUUCUCAUAAAAGUGAUAACUACUUGAUCAUUACACUUAAUCAAUAUAUUUAUUAACAAAAAGUUCAUAAAUACUUAAAUGCCUUACAUAGAUUACUAUUAUUCAUUCUUUUAUAUUUUAAUUUGGAUAAAAAGACUAAAUACAAAUAUUAUAUAUAUUUGAUUCUUUUAAUUUGAACAUUAAAAAGUUUUAUGAAUGAAACAUUCUUUAAAUCUCUUUAUCUUCCCUAUCCCAGAGAAUAUCAGUUCAUCAAACUUGAACAUGUAAUUGUACUCGAUUCCUUCUGAAACAACAAUAGUGGUCUCCAAAACAAUUUUUGACGACUUUCUUCAUAGUCUAUACUGUUUAUCAUUCCAAAAUGAAGUCCAACCCAACUUGGAUUCCAGAAACAUCUCCAAUUCUAUAAUCUAUGUUGACACACAUGUUCUGUGUUGACACACAUAUUCUGUUGCUUGAGUAUCAUCCUCACAUCAUGGUAAAUUCGAGUAGUGGGAUUGACUUCAUUAUCCAAUAAGAUUUCUUUGUAGAUAAUACUGAAAUGGCGAUGAGCCUUGAGUAUUUUCUCACAUAAGAUAAGAUGAUCUCGCUACAUAAGAAGGAUGAACAUGCCACCAAGUUGUGUUUGACGCUGACUCUACACCACCUCUUUUAACUGUUGGUUCUUCCUAAUCACAUCAUCUUCUUUAAACCUGUUGUCAUAUCUAUUCACAGUUUUUGAAAAUUGAUCCUCUUUCAGUCAUCGUUUCAAAACUUAAUCAAGAAAGUGGACAAAAAAAUUAUGGAGGAACAGAGGAUUUUCUCUUAAUUUUGGCGAUUAUCAAGUUUAGCGGUAAAAUUGGCCAAAAAAAAGAAAAACAAGUUUGAGAAAUCUCACAACGAGAAAUACGAUGAGUUUGCGUUCUUCUUCUUCGUCUGUCUCGGCUCCUUGUUUUGUCUAUGAAAACAAAUCAAGAAACAGGGAGAAGAACUCCUUUUGAAGAACUCUUUUUGUCAGCAAGAGAGGCUGUCAGUGUUUGAAUUCAAGCGUGUCUACUAUAUUAACUAUUAUUAAAAAGAUCCCUGCUAAUUGGCUCGCUAGAUCAUUUGGUUUUGUUUCACCUUAUACAUUUUUCAGGUUGGCAGUUCGAAGCCCAAAUUGUCUGCCCUUUAGUUUUUUUUUUGUUAGUCUUUCGUUUUUUGACACGUGUAUACUCGAGUGUUUCCAGGUGAAUUUUCACUCGUCGUACAGGAACCAAAUAAAACUCUCUUUUUUUUUUUUUGUAAAACAAAACCAAACCAAAUAAAACUUCUUUUUUCUUUUUCUUUUGAUGCUGAAAAUUGUAUCAGAUAUAUCAACUUUUAAUGUUUUAGAUAGUUUUGAUUAACUGAUAAAAGAUUCCCUUCAGCAAACCUAUCUAUUGUUUGAACUCCAUUAUCUGUUUUAAAGCAAUCACAUUAUAUAGUAUGUCACAAAAACCAACAAAAAAUAAAUGGAUAAAUAUUUUAAAUAUUGAACCCGUCAAAAAGUAUGAAAUUUUUAUUUCCUUUUUUUUUAAUUAGUUUUUGUUAGAUCUCAAACUGAAAACUCAUGACUAUUAAGAGAAUAAAGAAUUCAAAUGUUUAUUUUUCUAAAAUAAUUUUAACAUGUUCUAAAAGAUGUGUAUCUCCUGAAUCUCGGCUAAAGCUCGUAUUUAUAGAUAGAAUAACAUUCCGAAUAUGACAAGAAGACAACUUACGGAUGAUGUCACAUAUUCAAUGUCCAUUCCAAUCAGGUAAUAUCAGUUGUCUGUAAGGACAUAUAUUCGCUGUGAUACAUAUACAACUGGCUUCAUCGUAAGUACGUUUAAAGCAUGCAUAGUGCAUCAUCUGUGUUCAGCAGGUUGUUAGAUAUGCUUCAUAUAUUGUUGCCCAUAGUGUGGUAGACCUUGGGCUUUGUUUUGGACGAAAUGAGUCUUUCUUCGAUUUGGACUGAAAAUAUUGAUGAAGGUGUAAAACCUACUUCCUACAUUAAAGUAUACUUCUUCGAUUUUAGAAUUCAAAAUUAUCCCUCAACUUCAAACCCUAAGUCUUUAUUAGUUAAUCAUAAAGAUAUAAAUGUAUAUUUACCAUUUAAUAUAACCAACAUAGUUGAAGAAUUAGAGUUCGAGCAUCUUCUUUCACCCAUCGUUAAUUCUUCUCUUACUAAAUGAUUAAUCGUCAUUGUUACAACUAUAUUUUAGCACACGGUCCAAAUAUAUGUAUUGAUUUGCACUUCCGACUGUAGCAAAAAAUUUUUAAAAUAUUUUCAGAAAUAAUAUUUUAAUUUCAAAACAAAAUUUUAAAAAUUGAAUUUGAAAUCAUAUUCGAAAACUAAAAAUUAUUAUUAUUUAUUAUUAUUAUUAUUAUUUGUUUAAAUAAUUAUUUGAACGAAUUACCAUAUUUGAAUAAAAAUAUUCAUUAAUUAUAAAUAAGAAACAAUAAAGAAUACAAUCAACAAAUCGUGACCGCCACAAUGGUUAAUGUAUCUGUUGAAAUACUGUUGAAACCCAGGUUUGAGUCUCUCCCACCUCCUUUUUAGAUAGUAGGUUUUUAUUAAUUAUUAAUUAUUUAAAAUAUAAAAAACUAUGUAAUCAAUAUGUAAAAGACAGCUCAGAUUGGGUUAUUUUUUACUAGCAGAUAAUUAGUUAAUGUAGGUAAAAGCCAAAUUUUGUUAAAUGAUGUAUAAAAUUUUAAUAUAUUAUAUGUUGAUAUAUGUUUUAGCACAUAGUUCGAAUGUAUGUACUGAUCGGAACUGUGAUCUUCGAUUGAGGUAUGAAUUCUCUACAAUAAAAGAGUUGUGGUGGUCUUCUCCGAACCACCCGGAUCCCACAAAUGAAUAAAAUUGGAUUUACACUAAAUCUCAUCUAAAUCUUUUUAUCAUUUUUAUGUAAAAAAGUUUGGUUUCAAACUCCAAUUCCAAAAAUGUGGUCAAUUAAGAUUAAAAAAUAAGUUUAUAAUUUUAAUUUAAAAAUAAUUAUUGCAAUUUUAUGGAAAGAAAUUUAGUAUAAAUCAUUGUGUGUGAAGAUUCGAUAUUAUACUCUAAUUUUCGUAGAAAAAAUAAAAUUGGUAAGCUUAAGUAAUCUUUUUACAUAUCGCGCUUACUGAACAUUUUUCAAUGUAUAACAUUUGUCAAUGUAUCACUUUAUUUUUUAUUUCAAAAUAGAGUAAAUUUAUAAUGAAGUUGAGUUUAUUUUAAUUCUAUUUUAUUUUGGAAUAAAAAUAAAAUAAUAAAUUAAAAAUAAAAUUAUGUAUUUAUAGAGUAAUUUUAUUUUUUAUUUUAUAAUAGAAUAGAAAAUAAAAUAGAAUAAGUGUAUUUUUUCUUUUGAACUCUAUUUUUUUUUUGGAACAACUGAACUUUAAACUCUAUUUAAAAGUAAAAAAUUGAGUAGAGCUGAAGAUGGUUUAACGACAAAGAAAGCAAAUUGAGAGAGUUCCAAAUAUGCGAAGGUGCGACAGAAUAUGCCACCGACGAAACGUGACACGUGAACGGCUGAGUAUACUUCUGAGGGAAUCCUAUAUGAUCUGACCAG